Molecule: ribosomal RNA, 440 nt
Filed under: uncultured Janthinobacterium sp.
Lineage: Bacteria; Pseudomonadati; Pseudomonadota; Betaproteobacteria; Burkholderiales; Oxalobacteraceae
Description: bacterial SSU rRNA
Rfam family: Bacterial small subunit ribosomal RNA
Source: RNAcentral
GGAAUUUUGGACAAUGGGCGCAAGCCUGAUCCAGCAAUGCCGCGUGAGUGAAGAAGGCCUUCGGGUUGUAAAGCUCUUUUGUCAGGGAAGAAACGGUGGAGGCUAAUAUCCUCUGCUAAUGACGGUACCUGAAGAAUAAGCACCGGCUAACUACGUGCCAGCAGCCGCGGUAAUACGUAGGGUGCAAGCGUUAAUCGGAAUUACUGGGCGUAAAGCGUGCGCAGGCGGUUUUGUAAGUCUGAUGUGAAAUCCCCGGGCUCAACCUGGGAAUUGCAUUGGAGACUGCAAGGCUAGAAUCUGGCAGAGGGGGGUAGAAUUCCACGUGUAGCAGUGAAAUGCGUAGAUAUGUGGAGGAACACCGAUGGCGAAGGCAGCCCCCUGGGUCAAGAUUGACGCUCAUGCACGAAAGCGUGGGGAGCAAACAGGAUUAGAUACCCCAG